Molecule: ribosomal RNA, 468 nt
Filed under: uncultured bacterium
Lineage: Bacteria
Description: partial 16S ribosomal RNA
Rfam family: Bacterial small subunit ribosomal RNA
Source: RNAcentral
GACGAACGCUGGCGGCGUGCUUAACACAUGCAAGUCGAACGGAAAGGCCCUGCUUUUUUUGGGUGCUCGAGUGGCGAACGGGUGAGUAACACGUGAGUAACCUGCCCUUGACUUUGGGAUAACUUCAGGAAGCUGGGGCUAAUACCCGAUAGGAGCUCCUGCUGCCUUGUGGGGGUUGUAAAGUUUCGGCGGUUGGGGAUUGACUCGCGGCUUAUCAGCUUGUUGGUGGGGUAGUGGCUUACCAAGGCUUUGACGGGUAGACGGCCUGAGAGGGUGACCGGCCACAUUGGGAAUGAGAUAAGGCGCAGAAGCCGAAGGGAAGAAGAAGUGGGGAAUAUUGAACAAAGGGAGGAAGGCUGAGGGAGCAAAGAAGGGUGCGGGAUGACGGAAUUGGGGUUGUAAACGGAUAAAGCAUGUGACGAAGCGUGAGUGAAGGUAAUAGGUAAAGAAGCACCGGCUAACUACGUG